Molecule: ribosomal RNA, 224 nt
Filed under: Prevotella sp. PJ1A
Lineage: Bacteria; Pseudomonadati; Bacteroidota; Bacteroidia; Bacteroidales; Prevotellaceae
Also listed under: 1 other name
Description: partial 16S ribosomal RNA
Rfam family: Bacterial small subunit ribosomal RNA
Source: RNAcentral
UUUACAAUGUAGAGUUUGAUCCUGGCUCAGGAUGAACGCUAGCUACAGGCUUAACACAUGCAAGUCGCGGGGCAGCAUGACAUCAGCUUGCUGAUGUUGAUGGCGACCGGCGCACGGGUGAGUAACGCGUAUCCAACCUGCCCUUUACUAUGGGACAGCCCGUCGAAAGGCGGAUUAAUACCGUAUGUUGUCAUGUUGAUGCAUAUUUUCAUGACCAAAGGCUU